UAACGCAGCGAAAGCUGUGCUAAUACCGCAUACGAUCUACGGAUGAAAGCAGGGGAUCGCAAGACCUUGCGCGAAUGGAGCGGCCGAUGGCAGAUUAGGUAGUUGGUGAGGUAAAGGCUCACCAAGCCUUCGAUCUGUAGCUGGUCUGAGAGGACGACCAGCCACACUGGGACUGAGACACGGCCCAGACUCCUACGGGAGGCAGCAGAU
RNAcentral lists this ribosomal RNA (210 nucleotides) under uncultured Variovorax sp. RNAcentral's name for it is "partial 16S ribosomal RNA". It matches the Rfam family "Bacterial small subunit ribosomal RNA", at positions 144 to 354 of the family's 1533-position model. The record is from RNAcentral. Lineage: Bacteria; Pseudomonadati; Pseudomonadota; Betaproteobacteria; Burkholderiales; Comamonadaceae.